RNAcentral lists this ribosomal RNA (405 nucleotides) under uncultured bacterium. RNAcentral's name for it is "bacterial SSU rRNA". It matches the Rfam family "Bacterial small subunit ribosomal RNA", at positions 355 to 776 of the family's 1533-position model. The record is from RNAcentral.
UGGGGAAUAUUGGACAAUGGGCGCAAGCCUGAUCCAGCCAUGCCGCGUGAGUGAUGAAGGCCCUAGGGUUGUAAAGCUCUUUCGACGGGGACGAUAAUGACGGUACCCGUAGAAGAAGCCCCGGCUAACUUCGUGCCAGCAGCCGCGGUAAUACGAAGGGGGCUAGCGUUGUUCGGAAUCACUGGGCGUAAAGCGCACGUAGGCGGAUCGUUAAGUCGGGGGUGAAAUCCCAGGGCUCAACCCUGGAACUGCCUUCGAUACUGGCGAUCUUCGAGUCCGGGAGAGGUGAGUGGAACUCCGAGUGUAGAGGUGAAAUUCGUAGAUAUUCGGAAGAACACCAGUGGCGAAGGCGGCUCACUGGCCCGGUACUGACGCUGAGGUGCGAAAGCGUGGGGAGCAAACAGG